This 69-nucleotide transfer RNA is filed under the name Hoplobatrachus tigerinus (Indus valley bullfrog). Its description in RNAcentral is "tRNA-Pro". It matches the Rfam family "tRNA". Rfam says of the family: Transfer RNA (tRNA) molecules are approximately 80 nucleotides in length. Their secondary structure includes four short double-helical elements and three loops (D, anti-codon, and T loops). The record is from RNAcentral. Lineage: Eukaryota; Metazoa; Chordata; Amphibia; Anura; Dicroglossidae.
CAGGACAUAAUUUAAUUAGAAUAUUGGCUUUGGGGGCCAAAAGAAGAGGUUUAAGUCCUUUUGUCCUGA